Molecule: ribosomal RNA, 253 nt
Filed under: uncultured bacterium
Lineage: Bacteria
Description: partial 16S ribosomal RNA
Rfam family: Archaeal small subunit ribosomal RNA
Source: RNAcentral
UACCAGCACCCCGAGUGGUCGGGACGUUUAUUGGGCCUAAAGCAUCCGUAGCCGGUUCUACAAGUCUUCCGUUAAAUCCAUCUGCUUAACAGAUGGGCUGCGGAAGAUACUAUAGAGCUAGGAGGCGGGAGAGGCAAGCGGUACUCGAUGGGUAGGGGUAAAAUCCGUUGAUCCAUUGAAGACCACCAGUGGCGAAGGCGGCUUGCCAGAACGCACUCGACGGUGAGGGAUGAAAGCUGGGGGAGCAAACCGG